This 452-nucleotide ribosomal RNA is filed under the name uncultured Sediminibacterium sp. Its description in RNAcentral is "bacterial SSU rRNA". It matches the Rfam family "Bacterial small subunit ribosomal RNA", at positions 342 to 791 of the family's 1533-position model. The record is from RNAcentral. Lineage: Bacteria; Pseudomonadati; Bacteroidota; Chitinophagia; Chitinophagales; Chitinophagaceae.
CGGGGUGCAGCAGUAAGGAAUAUUGGACAAUGGACGCAAGUCUGAUCCAGCCAUGCCGCGUGAAGGAUGAAGGUCCUCUGGAUUGUAAACUUCUUUUAUAUGGGACGAAAAAAGGGAAUUCUUUCCCUCUUGACGGUACUGUAUGAAUAAGCACCGGCUAACUCCGUGCCAGCAGCCGCGGUAAUACGGAGGGUGCAAGCGUUAUCCGGAUUCACUGGGUUUAAAGGGUGCGUAGGCGGGUAUGUAAGUCAGUGGUGAAAUCCCGGAGCUUAACUCUGGAACUGCCAUUGAUACUAUAUAUCUUGAAUAUUGUGGAGGUUUGCGGAAUAUGUCAUGUAGCGGUGAAAUGCAUAGAUAUGACAUAGAACACCUAUUGCGAAGGCAGCAGGCUACACAUAUAUUGACGCUGAGGCACGAAAGCGUGGGGAUCAAACAGGAUUAGAUACCCCUGU